This 112-nucleotide ribosomal RNA is filed under the name Butyriboletus sanicibus. RNAcentral's name for it is "partial 28S ribosomal RNA". Lineage: Eukaryota; Fungi; Basidiomycota; Agaricomycetes; Boletales; Boletaceae. The record is from RNAcentral.
AGUCUGUCGUGAGACGGAUGAAACCCAUUGAGUUGAACUGAGCUAGGCUUUGUCUCCAUUCGAAACUUGACCUCAAAUCAGGUAGGAUUACCCGCUGAACUUAAGCAUAUCA